Molecule: non-coding RNA, 680 nt
Organism: Odocoileus virginianus texanus
Lineage: Eukaryota; Metazoa; Chordata; Mammalia; Artiodactyla; Cervidae
Source: RefSeq, a predicted model, not a curated record
AGCAGGCUGGUCUUGAGCCCUGGGGCGAUAUCUAUCUGAGCAGGUGAAUAUCCCUCUAUAAGAGGAAAAACAAACAAAAAGCUAUUUUCUGGCUAGCCCAGGACCUGACUUAGAAACUUACCUUCUUAUCACAGGUAGGAUGGGGAGUAACCUGGAGUGAUGAUUUACAGUCAUUAUGACCACAUGCAAAAUCAAAUACACUAUAGGACACUAGAAAGAGAGGGACUGUCGAGGAAGAAGGAGAGAGAGUACAAUAAGCCCAACUUAAUAUUGGACCUUCCCACCCCCACCCUGGCUGCAACCACCUGCUGGCCCAGUCUUCAAGCUUGAAGCAUCACUAUGGCUAACUGGAAGAAAAUGAUGACUUGACUGUCCAGGCCUGGGUCAACUGUUCAUCCCUGGAGGGAACCUGCUCUCGGAUGUGAACUAAUUAGUGAGCUGCACAUCAAAAGAAGUGAAGUGUUUCUUGUAAAUAGGAUUUCAUUUAAAGCAGAUCAAAAGAAGAUUUACCCAAGUCACUACCCCAUCCUCUGAUUUUUCAAGCAUCAGGCAGACACCAAAGAGAACAACAAAAACAACAAAUCACUUCAUGUUACACAUGCUGCGGAAAGAACAACUGUGAUGCCAAAGUCAAAUAUUAAUGAGAAGGGUGAACCAAAUAUGUCUGGGGAUGGAAUUUC